UUAAUGAACUAAGCCGAAGCGCUUUCGAGCGUGCACAGCUAAGUACAUGGUUACCCCACGGUAUUCCGGUGAAAAGCAAGCGUCGACCAAAGGCGGUGCCGGGGGUGAAACUCCGGCGGCACGCCGGUCUUCGCGGGGGUCGUUUCGCAACGACGCCUGUUUUCCGGUGCCCGGUGAACGCGUUCGGUACUUCGACCGAACGCAAUUUUCUCGGCGUGCGCUGCGCUCGUGGGUACCUGUCUCGCCGGCGUCGUCGCCGGUCGAGGGCAGCUCGUCCUAGGCUAGGUUUAAUGAACCGCCGCGGCGGUCGCCCGAGCGUACGUCGAACCCUUCACACUUUCACCACGAUCAUAUCAAGCUAUUGCUCUCUAAGACGGAAGCCCGUCGUCUCCCGACGACGGCUCCGUGUGUCUUGUCGAUGCCCUUUCGCAAACGUUGCGCGAACGAGGCGGUGCGACUCGACGACUGGCGUCUUCGCCGACGCUCGAAAAACGAAACGACAACUCUAGGCGGUGGAUCACUCGGCUCGUGUGUCGAUGAAGAGCGCAGCCAGCUGCGUGAAUUAAUGUGAAUUGCAGGACACAUUGAACAUCGAUAUCUUGAACGCAUAUUGCGGCCUCGGGCAAUCCCGAGGCCACGCCUGUCUCAGGGUCGGUUGAACGUCAAUCGCGAAGCGGCUCUCAAGCUCGCGCAUUGGGCGUCGCAGUCAACCGAGCGUCGUCGCGACGCUCGACGAACUUCGUCGCCUCAAGUACAGACGGGUUGCUCGGUCUUCGGCUAGUCUGCCCGACCGGGACGGUGACUCGACUCUCGUGGAGCGCACCAUCUCCCGCGUCGGACGGGGGCUGUCGUCCGUCGGCUGACCCAACUUUUUUCACACUGACUUCGACCUGAGAUCAGACGAGAUUACCCG
Molecule: ribosomal RNA, 913 nt
Filed under: Henlea ventriculosa
Lineage: Eukaryota; Metazoa; Annelida; Clitellata; Enchytraeida; Enchytraeidae
Description: eukaryotic LSU rRNA
Rfam family: 5.8S ribosomal RNA (bases 502-654)
Source: RNAcentral